GAUGAACGCUGGCGGCGUGCCUAAUACAUGCAAGUCGAGCGAACAGACGAGGAGCUUGCUCCUCUGACGUUAGCGGCGGACGGGUGAGUAACACGUGGAUAACCUACCUAUAAGACUGGGAUAACUUCGGGAAACCGGAGCUAAUACCGGAUAAUAUAUUGAACCGCAUGGUUCAAUAGUGAAAGACGGUUUUGCUGUCACUUAUAGAUGGAUCCGCGCCGCAUUAGCUAGUUGGUAAGGUAACGGCUUACCAAGGCAACGAUGCGUAGCCGACCUGAGAGGGGGAUGGGCCACACGGGAACUGAGACACGGUCCAAACCCCUAGGGGGGGCAGCAGGAGGGAAUCUUCCGCAAGGGGCGAAAGCCUGACGGAGCAACGCCGGGUGAGUGAUGAAGGUUUUCGGAUCGUAAAACUCUGUUAUUAGGGAAAAAAAAAUGUGUAAGUAACUAUGCACGUUUUGACGGUACCUAAUCAGAAAGCCACGGCUAACUACGG
Molecule: ribosomal RNA, 496 nt
Filed under: uncultured bacterium
Lineage: Bacteria
Description: partial 16S ribosomal RNA
Rfam family: Bacterial small subunit ribosomal RNA
Source: RNAcentral